CAGCAGCCGCGGUAAUACGAAUGGGGCUAGCGUUGCUCGGAAUGACUGGGCGUAAAGGGGGCGUAGGCGGAUCGUUAAGUUGGGGGUGAAAGCCCGGGGCUCAACCUCGGAACUGCCUUCAAUACUGGCGAUCUUGAGUAUGAGAGAGGUGUGUGGAACUCCGAGUGUAGAGGUGAAAUUCGUAGAUAUUCGGAAGAACACCAGUGGCGAAGGCGACAUACUGGUCCAUUACUGACGCUGAGGCUCGAAAGCGUGGGGAGCAAACAGGAUUAGAUACCCCUGUAGUCCCUGUCUCUUAUAC
RNAcentral lists this ribosomal RNA (301 nucleotides) under uncultured bacterium. Its description in RNAcentral is "partial 16S ribosomal RNA". It matches the Rfam family "Bacterial small subunit ribosomal RNA", at positions 509 to 807 of the family's 1533-position model. The record is from RNAcentral.